UUUAGGAAGUUUAGAAUUGAGGUCGCUAGGAUGCAUCGUGGUAAAAAAUCCAAUCAAAAACUGUGAAAGAACAUGCGCACAAACAUUUUCACGAGUGGUUUAAGGAAUAUGUUGCAAGAAAUGAUGGUGCAGAUAUAACACCUGAAAUUGAAUGGCUUGCAAAUGGACCAAAUAAUGUUGUAAGGAGAUUCAAGAAGUAUAACAUUUAUGGAUUUAAGUUUCGCACUGUGACGAAGGAGCAGGGAUUGAUAGCACAAAAUAGUGGUGUUGUUAUGUCUGUUGUUACCAAAAGAUUUUCAAGUGGUAGAGAAUCUAUUGAACAGUCAAGUGAUAAUAUGUACUAUGGAAAAUUUGUUGACAUCAUAGAGUUAAAUUAUUACGUUGAUGAAGAUUGGUGUUCUGUUUGUCAUAUGAAGCCUAGAGACAUAUAUGAUAUGGGAGAUGUAAAUUAUAUGGAUUUAGAGGAGCCA
Molecule: long non-coding RNA, 470 nt
Organism: Lycium ferocissimum
Lineage: Eukaryota; Viridiplantae; Streptophyta; Magnoliopsida; Solanales; Solanaceae
Exons: 3
Source: RefSeq, a predicted model, not a curated record